This 468-nucleotide long non-coding RNA is filed under the name Brassica napus (rape). Its description in RNAcentral is "long non-coding RNA (BNAP_LNC009010)". The record is from RNAcentral. Lineage: Eukaryota; Viridiplantae; Streptophyta; Magnoliopsida; Brassicales; Brassicaceae.
UUAUUUCUAAUGUCAUUUUCUUCUCGCUUUGUCGCCUAUUCCUUUUUCAUUUCGCUUAUAUGAUAAUAUAUUACUUAUUGACGUAUAUAAAAAAGCAAACAACAAUGACAAUACUCAUUAAAAGAAAAUUAGAAAUCUAAGAACUAUGUGAUAAUUACCAGUUAACCCCAAUUAAAGACAGCUAUAAGUAACGCUAAACCUAAUAGUCUGUUCAGACUAGUAAGCUUUCUUACUUGACUACGGAAAACAUGCUUAGUUUGGAAUUAGGUUCUGUAGUUUCCUUACAUAAAAAGAAACACACGUACGAAAUAAGAAGAAAAGAACCAUACGAAUUGAACCAUAAGUAAAUAAAAAACAUACGAAUAGAACCACAAAUCAACAUCUUUCAGUCACAUUCUAUCUCUCUCUUGAUGUGCCCAUAUUUCUUGCUGUCAACAAUUCACAGCCUCCUUCAUUGCAUCACCCAUC